UUGCUUCAGCAGCACAUAACCUGAAAUUGGAAUGAGUCAGAGCUGAUUAGCAUGCCUCCUGUGCAAGGAUGGCACACAGAUUCAUGAAGCAUUCCAUGUUUUU
This is a small nuclear RNA of Hippopotamus amphibius kiboko, 103 nucleotides long. NCBI's taxonomy places the organism in Eukaryota, Metazoa, Chordata, Mammalia, Artiodactyla, Hippopotamidae. The record is from RefSeq and is a predicted model, not a curated record.